AAGGAGUCUAACAUGUAUGCGAGUAGGCGGGUGUAAAACCUUGCUGCGCAAUGAAAGUAAUUGAUGGGAUCCGCAAGGUGCACCAUCGACCGAUCUUGAGAUAUUAACGAAGGAUUUGAGUUAGAGCAUAAAUGUUAGGACCCGAAAGAUGGUGAACUAUGCCUGAGUAGGGCGAAGCCAGGGGAAACUCUGGUGGAGGCUCGAAGCGAUUCUGACGUGCAAAUCGAUCGUCAAAUUUGGGUAUAGGGGCGAAAGACUAAUCGAACCAUCUAGUAGCUGGUUCCCUC
RNAcentral lists this unclassified non-coding RNA (287 nucleotides) under uncultured fungus. Its description in RNAcentral is "partial contains 5.8S rRNA, ITS2 and 28S rRNA". It matches the Rfam family "Eukaryotic large subunit ribosomal RNA", at positions 668 to 961 of the family's 3401-position model. The record is from RNAcentral. Lineage: Eukaryota; Fungi.